RNAcentral lists this ribosomal RNA (707 nucleotides) under uncultured bacterium. RNAcentral describes it as "bacterial SSU rRNA". It matches the Rfam family "Bacterial small subunit ribosomal RNA", at positions 61 to 732 of the family's 1533-position model. The record is from RNAcentral.
GUCGAACGAGUUCUCGUUGAUGAUCGGUGCUUGCACCGAGAUUCAACAUGGAACGAGUGGCGGACGGGUGAGUAACACGUGGGUAACCUGCCCUUAAGUGGGGGAUAACAUUUGGAAACAGAUGCUAAUACCGCAUAGAUCCAAGAACCGCAUGGUUCUUGGCUGAAAGAUGGCGUAAGCUAUCGCUUUUGGAUGGACCCGCGGCGUAUUAGCUAGUUGGUGAGGUAAUGGCUCGCCAAGGCGAUGAUACGUAGCCGAACUGAGAGGUUGAUCGGCCACAUUGGGACUGAGACACGGCCCAAACUCCUACGGGAGGCAGCAGUAGGGAAUCUUCCACAAUGGACGCAAGUCUGAUGGAGCAACGCCGCGUGAGUGAAGAAGGCUUUCGGGUCGUAAAACUCUGUUGUUGGAGAAGAAUGGUCGGCAGAGUAACUGUUGCCGGCGUGACGGUAUCCAACCAGAAAGCCACGGCUAACUACGUGCCAGCAGCCGCGGUAAUACGUAGGUGGCAAGCGUUAUCCGGAUUUAUUGGGCGUAAAGCGAGCGCAGGCGGUUUUUUAAGUCUGAUGUGAAAGCCCUCGGCUUAACCGAGGAAGCGCAUCGGAAACUGGGAAACUUGAGUGCAGAAGAGGACAGUGGAACUCCAUGUGUAGCGGUGAAAUGCGUAGAUAUAUGGAAGAACACCAGUGGCGAAGGCGGCUGUCUGG